CAUCUCUAUCUAAACUAUGAUGUAGAAGAGAAGAGCCAUGCUCCUAUCAUCUCUUUCAAAUUAAUGUUCCAAUAUCUUCUUGUCAUUUUUUCCACACUUCCUUUUUUAAUCCUACCAUUCCAUUACGGAAUUUAGUUCUUUUUUACUUUAGAUCCAUCUAAGAUUUCGAUUCCCAGUAAAAAAUAUAGAAUAGAAAAAUAUGGGACAAAAAAUAAAUCCACUCGGUUUCAGAGGAGAAAUCGCCCAAGGAGGGGCUCGCGUCUGAUUAGCUAGUUGGUGAGGUAAUAGCUUACCAAGGCGAUGAUCAGUAGCUGGUCCGAGAGGAUGAUCAGCCACACACGGACUGAGACACGGCCCAGACUCCUACGGGAGGCAG
This 376-nucleotide ribosomal RNA is filed under the name Aegilops tauschii subsp. strangulata. RNAcentral's name for it is "rRNA SSU_rRNA_eukarya". It matches the Rfam family "Bacterial small subunit ribosomal RNA", at positions 144 to 351 of the family's 1533-position model. Lineage: Eukaryota; Viridiplantae; Streptophyta; Magnoliopsida; Poales; Poaceae. The record is from RNAcentral.